This 449-nucleotide ribosomal RNA is filed under the name Lutjanus campechanus (northern red snapper). RNAcentral describes it as "partial 12S ribosomal RNA". It matches the Rfam family "Bacterial small subunit ribosomal RNA", at positions 6 to 793 of the family's 1533-position model. The record is from RNAcentral. Lineage: Eukaryota; Metazoa; Chordata; Actinopteri; Lutjaniformes; Lutjanidae.
UAAAGGUUUGGUCCUGACUUUACUAUCAACUUUAGCUAAACUUACACAUGCAAGUAUCCGCACCCCUGUGAGAAUGCCCUACAGUUCCCUGCUCGGGAACAAGGAGCCGGUAUCAGGCACACCCCAAAUACAAGCCCAUGACACCUUGCUUAGCCACACCCCCAAGGGAACUCAGCAGUGAUAAACAUUAAGCCAUAAGUGAAAACUUGACUUAGUUAAAGCUAAGAGGGUCGGUAAAACUCGUGCCAGCCACCGCGGUUAUACGAGAGACCCAAGUUGUUAGACACCGGCGUAAAGAGUGGUUAAGAUACCCCCCCCCCCAACUAAAGCCGAACGCCCUCAGAGCUGUUAUACGCAUCCGAAGGUAAGAAGCCCGACCACGAAAGUGGCUUUAUAUUGUCCGAACCCACGAAAGCUAUGACACAAACUAGGAUUAGAUACCCUAUUAU